RNAcentral lists this ribosomal RNA (225 nucleotides) under uncultured bacterium. RNAcentral's name for it is "partial 16S ribosomal RNA". It matches the Rfam family "Bacterial small subunit ribosomal RNA", at positions 106 to 334 of the family's 1533-position model. The record is from RNAcentral.
UAAAGUAGUCGUGGGGAAAACUGCCUGAUGGAGGGGGAUAACUACUGGAAACGGUAGCUAAUACCGCAUAACGUCGCAAGACCAAAUGGGGGACCUUCGGGCCUCAUGCCAUCAGAUGUGCCCAGAUGGGAUUAGCUAGUAGGUGGGGUAAUGGCUCGCCUAGGCGACGAUCCCUAGCUGGUCUGAGAGGAUGACCAGCCACACUGGAACUGAGACACGGUCCAG